RNAcentral lists this ribosomal RNA (123 nucleotides) under Robiginitalea myxolifaciens. RNAcentral's name for it is "partial 16S rRNA. Bacterial SSU". It matches the Rfam family "Bacterial small subunit ribosomal RNA", at positions 1 to 114 of the family's 1533-position model. The record is from RNAcentral. Lineage: Bacteria; Pseudomonadati; Bacteroidota; Flavobacteriia; Flavobacteriales; Flavobacteriaceae.
CUACGAUGAAGAGUUUGAUCCUGGCUCAGGAUGAACGCUAGCGGCAGGCCUAACACAUGCAAGUCGAACGGUAACAUAGAAAAGCUUGCUUUUCUGAUGACGAGUGGCGCACGGGUGCGUAAC